AUAAAGUGCAGACGAAAUGCAGACACUGAUAAAACCAUCAUAAUGUUGGUAAAAAUAAGAUAUAUCAAGGUAGAUACUAUGGAGUGCAGUUUCUCUCCAAAGUUUGUGGAUUGUGAUGAACUCAUUUAACCUCUUGCCAAACACUGAAACAGUGAAACACAGGCAGUACAUACCAAAUAUUUGCUAUUUUGUCUGAGAAUGGUCUAAAACCACCAGUAGCUCUAGAUCUUCACAUCAAUAUUGUAUAUUUUACCAGCCCUUUCAAUUAAAUGAAGAAAAAAAAAAACAAUUCAAAUGUGCACGUCGCAUGUUAUGCCAACAAAAAGUUUUCAUCCAGAUAUUGACCACAUCAAGGAUUCUGGACUCAAGUCGUUACCUUACAGAACUAGCCUUAAACUAGCAAGUAGUGGACCAAAGGAAAAGGAUUUUAUUCAUCUUAUUAACUAGACAGAAUGUGAGUAUUGGAAAAUAAAAAGAACUGAGACAUGACCUCCCCUUUUCCCCCUUUUAUAGUUUUGAUUAGUUUAUGUAAUAUUUAAAUUUUCAUUAUUAUCAUUCAUCAUUGAUUAUUUGUUAAACAUUCUCAAUUACUAAGACAAUGCAAACAUGUCUUUUAAUGAAAAAAAGGAACACUUUCUAUGUAUUAAAUUAGUUUCAAAACAGAUAUUUAAUUUACCUCCUUUCAUGAGUGUAAGAAUUGGGGUCCUCUAAUUUGUUAUGUAUCAUUUACUUUUUACACAUUUUCUAUAUUUUUAAAACAAAUACUUAUUCUGUACAAUUCUAAGGAAAAUGAUUUUAUAAUUAAAAUUUAGAUUUCUGUAAUAAUUUGAUUUCUUUUUAAUGUUUGUCCUUCAUUCUGUGAUUAAUAAUCUAUAUUGUAUUACCUUAUUAUUUUGUUUUCCACAGUUACUCUUCUUACUUUUGCAUCCCAUUAUUCUCUAUUUUAAUUAUGUGUGCUUAUUUAUCUCCAAUCAUAAUGUUCAUAAUUAUUUUUUAAUUCAAUAAUUGGGCAUUAUAUUAAUUAUUCUUUGUUUGGUAAACCCUAGCCCCUAUAUUUUAUGUCACCUGUGAAACAAUCAUUGAUACUAUUUUUUAAAUUGACAUUCCCUACUCAGGAGCCUGAAUUUAAGGAUGAGUGCAUGGUUUAAUCUAUUAUUUUUACAAUUUAUGAAUUAUUUGAUAUUUAUUUCAAAACAGUACUUUAGCUGUAAAAUUGUCAAAACUUUAAAACUCCUAUUUACAUAACACCAUGGUUGUGAAUAUAAAUAUUUGAUUUGCAUUCAAUAUCCCCCUUCCCACCCCCUGACCCAAGAUUAGAUGUGUAUUCAAUAUCCCUCCUCCCCCACCCUGAGAUUUGAUAGGGUUUUUAAAACAUCCUAAAUAAGGAGUAUCUUUUAACAAUGUUUUGAAGCUGUAAAUAACCAGCUUCCCCAAAAAAGUUUAAUUGAAAAAAAAUAUUCUAGAAAAAAUUGUAUAAUGAUAGAAAAUAGAUGAGUACUCUGUUGAACAUCUGUGUAUGGUUUAAGUACCUUUCACUUAAACAAAUGUAUAAUUGGUAUGCAAUAUUAAUAAAUCUUGAACAGCAAUACAUGUAUAGAUUAACACAGAACUUGUUUCAAUGUUUUACUGUAGUUUUAUAAAUAAUUGCUAUCAUUUUUUCCAGCAUGUUGUACUUUGUUUCUGAAGAAAAUAAGAAUAGAUGUCAAUGAUGCAGUACUUGAAGGGGAAAUGAGGUAAUAAUAAUAUAUUGUUUAAAAGUAAUCCUUGUAUCUUCACAAAAGGUUCAGCAUGUGUUUAGUAAUAAUAUUAUGAUAUCUAUGUCAUACAAAGUCUUCACAUACCAGGAUAGAGACUCAUUGCUACAUUACCUGAGUCGCGCAGGAAGGCUAGAAAAAAAAUUAUAUUGGAGAGUCUUAUCCUUUUCACAAAUUGCACCUAAUUUUUUUUAACAAAUGAUACUAUAACUGUAUAAAUGUUUUUUUGUCUAUGAAAAAAUAAGCAUUUUACACAAAAAUUACAAAACUUAUUUGCUGUUUAUAUUGCUGAUUUUAUUUUUAUUCUCCAUUUAAAUAAGCUGAAUCAAUUUAAUUGUUGUGUAAAUAAUUAUUAUUCUUACAUAAUCAAAAAUAUAAAAUUUACUCACUACUAUAGAAAAUAUUUUUGUUAAACUGCUAAUGCCUUAUAUAUUUAGUAAGAUACAGUGAUUGAAUAUGAAGGGAAUUAAUUGCUGUUUAAAUUUAUAUUUGCUAUUUAAUUUUUAUUACAAGCAAAUAUUUCAGCUUAUUAUAGAUCAUCUGUUAGUAUUAAGAUCCUGUUAGUAUUAAUAAAAAUUUUUUAUUUAAAGGUUAAAUCAACAAGAAGAAAAGGGAAUCUGCCAACAUAUCAAGAAAAGAUGGAAACAACAGAAGAU
Molecule: long non-coding RNA, 2410 nt
Filed under: Mytilus galloprovincialis (Mediterranean mussel)
Lineage: Eukaryota; Metazoa; Mollusca; Bivalvia; Mytilida; Mytilidae
Source: RNAcentral